RNAcentral lists this long non-coding RNA (2609 nucleotides) under Homo sapiens (human). RNAcentral describes it as "HSALNT0220481". Lineage: Eukaryota; Metazoa; Chordata; Mammalia; Primates; Hominidae. The record is from RNAcentral.
UCUUUAGCAAAAAAAGCACAAAUCUUUCUUUUUAUUCAGAGCCAAGCAUCAUCUUGUAUAUGUGCAUUUACAGCAUUAGCAGUAUCUCUGGAUCCAACUAUUUAAUUGUGAGGAUCCACUUUGAAUAGUUUGUGUUUGGGGUUAAGAGUCAUGUUUUCUGUCCACUUGAGGCACAACUUCCUUUUUAAAUUUUUGACUCUUUGAGAACUUUUAAAGUGGGAAUCAGAAAGAAAUUUAUACUGUCUUGAUAGAUACCUUAAGACUGUCUGUCCACCAGAUGUCACCCUGACUUCUUAAGAGCCAUAGAAAACAAAAGAGCUAGACUUCCUUGUUUGUUAUUUUUGACAGUGCAUAUAUAAACUGAUGAUAGAUUAAGUCUUAAAUAGGGGCCGGGACAGGUGGGAUUGGAAAAAAAAAAACCAAGGUUUAUUUCCUUAUAUAUGUGAGACGGAGUUUCUCUUUUGUUGCCCAGGCUGGAGUGCAAUGAUCUCGGCUCACUGCAACCUCUGCCUCCUGGGUUCAAGCGAUUCUUCUGCCUCAGCCUCUGGAGUAGCUGGGAUUACAGGUGAGUGCCACCAUGCCCGGCUGAUUUUUUGUGUUUUUAGUAGAGACACAGUUUCACCAUGUUGGCCAGGCUGGUCUCGAAGUCCUGCCCUCAGGUGAUACAGCCACCUCGGCCUCCUAAAGUGCUGGGAUUACAGGCGUGAGCUACCACACCCGGCCUUUAUUUUUUUGAUUUUAUUAAUUCAACUUUUAUUUUAGAUGCAGUGGGUGCAUGUGCAGAUUUGUUGCAUGGGAAUAUUGCUUGGUGCUGAGGUAUGGAGUAGGAAUCUCAAAAAUUACCGAGAUAGUGAGCAUAGUACCUGACAGGUAGAUUUCUAACCCACCCCUCCACCCUGUAGUAUUCCAUGGUGUCUAUUGUUCCCAUGUUUAUGUCCAUGUGUCCUCAAUAAAACCCAAGUCUUUAUGUUUCUCCAAAUCCCUGCUUACCUGAGAGAGGCAGCACCUUUCUAGAUAACACUGUCAAUUCAACUUUCCUUUCACUGCUUAGUUAUAGUUUUAAAAGUACUCUCAGUUAAAUUCACAAUUCAAUUUACAAAACUUUUGCAAAUAACCUAAAGUACAUGGCCAUUCUGCAGAUCACAUAAGGCUUCUCUUAAUUUCAGUGAAACAUCUAUUUAGACAUCAUUCACGGUGAUAGUCUUUGAUGGAGGACCAUUGACACAACUUCCAAUCAAGUCAGACUGCUGGGUGGUCUCACAAACAAGCAACAUGUGUUUUGCUUUUACUAGUCUCUAUUAUUACAAAUAACAUUUUUCACUGUCAACAAUUAGCAUCCUUUUAUUCUGCUCUAAUUUCCCCUUCUUUUAAGGAUUCAUCUAUUGUGAGCUUUAAUUGGUGUAUGGGCGUGUGUGAGUGCUCAUACACUCUAUAAUAACAAACCAGAACUGCCCUUUCUCAUCAGAGAUUUUCUACUAUCUUCCAAACCGUGUACUUUGAUAUUUUAAUUGUUUACAGCCGGGCACAGUGGCGCGCGCCUGUAAUCCCAGCUACUCGGAAGGCUGAGGUGGAAGAAUUACCUGAGCCCAGGAGGUGGAGACUACAGUGAGCAGAGAUUGUACCACUGGCACUCCAGCCUGGGCAACAGAGUACCACUGCACUCCAGCCUGUAAAACAGAGACCCUGUUUCAAAAUAAUUAAGUGUGGAUAAAGAACCAAAACUUAUGUAGCAUCUACCGUAUGUCAGGCACUUUAUAUAUAUGAUCCAAAUAUGAGUUAAAGUCUUCUUUGUUUUCUGAGAGAUUUGCCCCUGAUUGAUAGAAAAUCCCAACCUGGUUGGGUGCCAUGGCUCACGCCUUGUAAUCCCAACACUUUGGGAGGUCAAGGCAGGAGGAUUGCUUGAACUCAGGGGUUCAAGACCAGCCUGGACAACAUAGUGAGACUUUGUCUCUAUAAAAGAAAAAAGAAAAAAAGAAAAUCCCAUCCCAUGCAGAGUGAGAAAACAUCUGCCUGAGAAUUCUUUUUCUUUUUUUCUUUCUUUUUUUUUAAGACAGAGCUUUGAUCUUUCGCCCAGGCUGGAGUGCAGUGGCACAAUCUCAGCUCAUUCCAACCUCCACCUCCCAGGUUCAAGUGAUUCUCCCGCCUCAGCCUUGGAAGUAGCUGGGAGUACAGGUGUGUGCCACCAUGCCCUGGCUAAUUUUUGUAUUUUAAUAGAGAUAGGGUUUCACUACGAUGGCCAGGCUGGUCUCGAAUUCCUGGGAUCAAGUGAUCCACCCUCCUCGGCAUCCCAGAGUGCUAGGAUUACAGGCGUGAGCCACUGUACCCAGCCUGUCUGAGAAUUCUUUUUUUGACAUCAUUCCUGGGCUAAUUUUAUUUUUGGUGGAGAUAGGGUUUCACUAUGUUGCCCAGGCUGGUCUUGAGCUCCUGGUCUUGAGUGAUCGUCCUGCCUCAGCCUCCCAAAGUGCUGGAAUUACAGGCAUGAGCCACUGUGCCUGGCCCAUCUGAGAAUUCUUGUUGGCAGAGAGAGUGGUGGAUGGCUCAGUUUUCUUGCUUGCUUGCUUGCUUGCUUGCUUGUCUUUCUUCCUGUCUUUCUUUCUUUUUCUAUUAAA